Molecule: long non-coding RNA, 583 nt
Filed under: Solanum tuberosum (potato)
Lineage: Eukaryota; Viridiplantae; Streptophyta; Magnoliopsida; Solanales; Solanaceae
Description: long non-coding RNA (STUB_LNC011239)
Source: RNAcentral
CCUGUCGAAACCGUCGUCCGGCCCUGUCAUGAUAAUCUCUAGACCUGGGUCGGGAGUCACAGUAGCUGCCCUCAUGCCUAGCCCUCUUCUCGCUGCCCCCUUGGGCCUCGCGACGAAGAUGCUCCAUAGUACUAGCAUGGUCAACUACGUCUAAAAAAGAUCGACCCGCAGAAACUAAGGACUGGGUCUCAAGCCGAAGCUGCAAUCUCAACCCACGAACAAAGCACCUAACUCUCUCUUCCUCUGUAGGUAAUAUCAUCUCGGAAUGACGGGAGAGCUUGUGAAACCUAGUCUCGUACUCUGCCACCGACAUGGUGCCCUGCUCCAACCUACAGAACUGAUCCCUUAGGCGGUCUCUGACGCUACGAGGAAUAAACUUGGCCAAAAAGGCCUCAGAAAACUCAUCCCAUGAUACCGGUGGAGAUCCAACUGGCCUGGUCUGAAUGAAUGUGCGCCACCACUGCCUGGCUGGCCCAUCUAGCUGGUAAGCAAUAAAGUCGGGCCCUCUAGACUCCACAAGGCCCAAAGUGCGAAGCCUCUCACGGCAAGUAGUAAGAAACUCGUGGGCAUCCUCACCCACAGC